CCGACGGCCGUGCCCUAGAUCUCGAUCGCCUUCCAGCCUUCCUCUCCUUUUCGAUCCCGUGCGGCCGUGCCCACUGCCCAGCAGCCCAGGUGCCCUGGAUCUUGAGCGCCUUCCUCUCUUUUUCGAUCCCGUGCGAUCGUGCCCAGGUGCCCCGUGCCCUAGAUCUUGAGCUGCGGCGGCGGAGAAGAGUAGACCGCUUCCGUGUGGCCGUGCCCGACUUCCGGCUCUCCAGUCUCCAGUCCGCGGAUCUCCCCCUUGGCCUCUCCCCAUUCUUCAGCGUCCCAAGGACCUUGCUGUACGCCUGUACCAGAUCUUGAGCUGCGGCGGCGGAGAAGAGAAGACAGCUUCUGUGCCCGGUGCGGCGGUGCCCUA
Non-coding RNA from Phoenix dactylifera (date palm), 372 nucleotides. NCBI's taxonomy places the organism in Eukaryota, Viridiplantae, Streptophyta, Magnoliopsida, Arecales, Arecaceae. The record is from RefSeq and is a predicted model, not a curated record.